AUUAUGGCUUUUUAACGCUUCAGUCCGAUAACGAUUCUUGGAGUUUCUGGAGGUGCUGUUUGCAUCGGAACUAAAACGCUGCUAACAUUGCCCCUGGUUUCUAGCGCUUUUGUACCCUACGACCUAGAGAAAAACCCCUGAAUGAUUUUUACAUAGCAUUUGGGGUUUGUCGUUUUUUUUCGGGCUAUACCCCCGCCCAUGGUAUAUUUGACACAUUUCAAACACAUGGUAUUGGGUGUGUCUAAACAUUAGGAUCCUUUUGGAUCUUCUAAAAUCUCCGGGGGGCUAGCACCUAGAUGCAGGGGGUGGGUUGGUCUCGACAUCGCUGGGAUGAAUGACUUUUUAGCCCACCUAAAAAAUAGUUUUAUGAAAGGCCUUUAAGAUUAGGAGUCGUAAGACACAAUAUUAUUGUUGUGGGGGUAGGCAUCUGUUUUGCAGGCUAGUGUAAACCUUGGUUUCAAACGACCCCCCCCGGCAUAGAGCGAGAGAGAGAGAGAGAGCCUUGAGCGCAGAUGCAAGGGUAUUUUUUUUAACACACACACCCCAGCCCCCACUUUUUCUGUUUUUGAAACACACACACAGCCACUAAAGAAAACUCCCUCACGCACAUACGCGCGCACAUGGCUUUUUCCGCAAGUUUUUUCUCAGGGACAGACUGGGCUAAGAGUGAACAAACGCGAGAGUUCAUAACGUGAUCCUGGGAGCUUAUGCAACCAACCGCCAUUGUCCGUGUCGAGUUCGCCCUCAAAAGGCAAGGCUCUCUUGCUAGGUACAUCAACACUUGGUAAG
Molecule: long non-coding RNA, 789 nt
Organism: Salvelinus sp. IW2-2015
Lineage: Eukaryota; Metazoa; Chordata; Actinopteri; Salmoniformes; Salmonidae
Source: RefSeq, a predicted model, not a curated record